UACGGGGGGGGCAAGCGUUGUUCGGAAUUACUGGGCGUAAAGGGCUCGUAGGCGGCCAACUAAGUCGGAUGUGAAAUCCCCAGGCUUAACCUGGGAACUGCAUCCGAUACUGGAUGGCUUGAAUCCGGGAGAGGGAUGCAGAAUUCCAGGUGUAGCGGUGAAAUUCGUAGAUAUCGAGAGGAACACCGGCGGCGAAGGCGGCCAACUGGACGAAUACUGACGCUGAGACACGAAAGCGUGGGGAGCAAACAGG
RNAcentral lists this ribosomal RNA (253 nucleotides) under uncultured bacterium. Its description in RNAcentral is "partial 16S ribosomal RNA". It matches the Rfam family "Bacterial small subunit ribosomal RNA", at positions 524 to 776 of the family's 1533-position model. The record is from RNAcentral.